RNAcentral lists this long non-coding RNA (31033 nucleotides) under Ananas comosus (pineapple). Its description in RNAcentral is "long non-coding RNA (ACOM_LNC033961)". The record is from RNAcentral. Lineage: Eukaryota; Viridiplantae; Streptophyta; Magnoliopsida; Poales; Bromeliaceae.
UAAUGAGUGUGUUUUGCUAGAGAAUGUUGUUAAAUAUAAAAAUAUUUAAAACACUGUUCUCUAACCGCUUAAGUUUUUAGAAUAUAACGGUUGUUUCACAUAGUAUCAAAACAGGAAGUCCUGAGUUUGAAUCACGCCAGACUCCUAGCAUAUUAAUUUCCUCCCAUUUAAUUCAAGCCCACGUUAUGGGCCGAUUAAAAAGUCUCGAACCCAGACGUGAGGGGGAGUGUUAAAUAUAAAAAUAUUUAAAAUACUGUUCUGUACAACGGUUGUUUCACAAAUGUAAUAUUAUUGUAUAAAAUAUUAUCUAUAAAAAAAUAUUUUAUGUCAAUUUUUCAACAAAUUUCUUUUAUAAUAAUAAAAUUUAAAGUACCAAAUGAGAACUUCUAUGCUUUUUCAGUUUCUUAAGGCCAAAAAGACUAAAUUAGAUUAGAGAAGACAUUGUCACAUCUGAUACCACCAUCGCAAGGACUCUUCCUUAUGAGAAAUUUUGAACUGUAAAACCUAACUUAGCAAGGACAAUUGUAUUAAUAUGCAGGGUCAUUUGCAUAAUUAAAAGAAUGGAAAGGGUUUGCUAAGAUUUAUGAUCAUAUAUAAAGCAAUUUUUUUUUCUCUAAAAAUUUACACCGCUAAAAAAUGGUGUUUCAUACACAUUAAUUCAACAACAGAAAUAAUAAAUGAUGUAGAGACCCAACUGGUGUCAGCUUCCCUGGUCCACCCAAUCGCUUGAUAUGGUAAUGGUACAAGCUAUGACAUGCACAAAAGACUAGUGAUUAAACUUUUUUUUUUCCUACAUAAAUGAAGCAAAAUUGUUUUCUUUGUACACCAAUAAUAGUUUGUGGAGGCAUAUGCUUCAGGGAUCUUCCCACCGAGGGCAUAUGCUUCAGGGCACCUUCCCACUGAUUUUAGGAUAGUCAAAUACGUGGUUGAACUACGUCCAGAAAUGACGGUUUUUGUCUAAACUAAAAUAUUAACAAACUAAAAUAUUAACAAAUUAAAAUAUUAAGCUGGUAGGUUGUUGUUGAAUAUAAAAUUAUAUAAAUACCGUUCUCUAACAGCUUAAGCUUUUAGAGUACAACGGUUGUUUCACAUGGUAUCAAAGCAGGAGGUCCUGAGUUCGAGUUACGCCAGGCUCCUAACAUAUUAAUUUCCUCCCAUUUAAUUCAAGCCCACGUCAUGGGCCGAUUAAAAAGUCUCGAUCCCAGACUCUUAAGCUUUUAGAGUACAACGGUUGUUUCACAAUAAAUAUAAAAAUAUUUAAACACCGUUUUCUAACAUACAAUGGUUAUUUCACAUGGUAUCAGAGUAAGAGGUUAUUUCAUAGUCUAGACAGAAAAGAAUCAUAUAAUCUUUCGAGCCAAACUCGCCACCCCUUCCUGGUCGGUUGAGCGCGUCAAACUCCCGCUAGCCUCUUAGAACCAUAUUCUUUGAUCGCCUGAUCCCUGUCCCUUAGUCAUCUAUCCCUUUUCCCUCUUUCCCCACCGCUCGUUCCUUCUUCGUUUUAUUUUUCUUUCCCUUUUUAUCUCCUUUUCGUCUCUUUCUGUUGUAUCAUUUUUAAGAAAGCUCCAGCUGCUUUCAUCCUGUUUGCUUAGUUUAUUUUGCUUAAUGAAUGAAACAUGUAGCUUGCUACAUUUUCUCAAAAAAAAAAGCAAAGUAAAAUGAAUACCCAAUCAAAGCAGAAUGCUGAUCCAUUUAAAUCGGCAAUCUUUAUCUCAUAUUAGUUGUCAGAUCGUUAACGCUAGUUAUUAAUUCUAAAAAAUUGAGCUGUUAGAAAUACGCAACUAAUUCAUUUAAAGCGUAUAGACAUAGUGUUCAUGGCUCUCUGCGGAUCUCGAUUAUGAUUCGAUCAAAUCAGUCUUACACAACUUCAAAUAUGACUCGACUAAUUCAACCUCACGCCAUUUCGAACAUAUCCGACCCAACCUAAUCUUCUGCCACAGGACUAAUGGUAAUCCAUUUAAACCAACACAAAUGUUGGACCAGCUUAAGAUAAAAAUUAGCCUGAUGCUGGUAUAUUUUUUUUUAUUUUUCAGUUUAAUUUGUGAGCGCAUUCAAAUUCGGAUGGUGAGAGAUCAUGCUAGUUGUGCCCUACAACAAACAGUUGAAAGCGAAAGGCUACCUUUUUAAAAUCUUUUUUGUCUUUUUGUUCGUGGGGUUUGGGGGGUUAGGGGGGGUGAAAGCGAAAGAAAGACAGUUGGGUGGGGCCGAGUUCGGGUUUUCAGAGCCCACAUGAAAUAGUGUGUUCGUUGGAAAAGCCGACUUCGCUACGCGAGCAGGGAAGAAAGCAAACACCGGAAUGAGAACCUCGGCUGCCAGAACAUCAAGGUCCUAUUUCUUCGACAAUAUUCUAGAAAGAGUACGUGGGUCAGUGAAAACAGUUUCUUAUUUAUUAUUAUUUUUAUUUUUUAACUUGUCUAUAAUAAUUCACUAAUUCACUAAUAAAUCUCACAGCUCCUGCAUAUUUCUACCAAUUUAUCAUCUAACAAAUCAGAAGUUAGUUAAUAUUUUUAACUAAAUUUAUUUUUUUUAAAAAAUAAAUAAAAUAAAUAGCAUUUUAUAUUUCUUUCGAAAACAGAUGAAAAGUCCCGGUAGAAGCUUCAAGUUCCUUGUACGUCUUAAACGACAACUUGGGCAACAAUUACUAACCUUUGUAACAAAAAAACCAAUAGUAAUUUUUUUUAAGAAAAAAACAGCACGGGAUUUAAAAUUAAUUUUAUAGCAUAUAAAAGUACUUAAUUCCCGAUCAUGAUGGCAACAAGUACUGUAAAGACAAACCUUAUAUAUUUUAUUUCAUUAUAUAUAUAUAUUUUUUAUUACUUAUUUAUUUUUUUAAGGAAAACUUCAAAAACCCCCCUAGGUUUCACACUUUUUCAUUUUAGUAUCCUAUAGUUUUUUAAAUCACAAGAAACUAAAGUGAUAAAGUGUAAAACCACAGGGUACUAAAGUGAUAAAGUACAAAACCACAGGGUACUAACUUAAUACACUUUAAACCACAGGAUACUUAAGUGAUAAAGUGAGAAACAACGGGUACUAACUUGAUACAUUUUAAACCACAGGAUAUUAAAGUGAAAAAAAUUGAAACCACAAGGGGGGUUUUUAAAGUUUUUCCUUUUUUUAAUUCAAAUAAAAGGAGAAAAUAUUUUGUGUAGAAGUCGCUCCAUAUUAUUAUGAGCUUAUAUCUAGCCAAUUAAAAUAUCUAUUUUUAGAAAAAAAAAUAUAUAAUAAAAAUAUUUUUAUAUAAAAUAUGAUGGAAUAGAUAAAUUUUAAUUAAAAAGGCAUUAUAAUUGAUUGGACCACGCAACAAUAGAAAAUAUGGCUGGAAACCUUUAUUUUUUUUUUUUUAUUAAUAUAGAGAGAGCAAUAAAAGCUGGUUCUAUCAUAUAUCUAUGCCCCGGCCGUGAUGGCUUUGGCGGGAGCUAGGAAGUGCUCGGCCAAUAAGCGCCGUUGGAUCUUCCCUGUGGCAGUCUUGGGAAGCGAGUCGGUGAUGUACACCUUCUUGGGCACCUUGAACGCCGCGAGAUUCUUCCUGCAGUAGCUCACCACCUCCUCCGCCCCGAUCUCCGCCCCCUCCCUCGGAAUCACCGCGCAGUUUAUCUGCAAACCAUUCACCAGCAAACGAACGGACGGCUCAGAUUUUCUUGUUUUUAAUAUAAUAAUAAUAUAUAUAUAAAAUAAUUUCAAAUUCGCAAAAUUUUCUAUCAAAUAAUAAUAAUAAUAAUAAUAAUAAUAAAAGAAAGAAAAGGACUCGCCUCCUCGCCGUAUUUAUCGUCGGGCACGCCGAACGCCACGGCCUGCGCGAUAUUCGGGUGCGCCAGCAGCACCGCGUCCACCUCGAUCGGCGAGAUCUUCUCACCUGCUCACCAGAAUUCGAUGAGAUCAGAUCACUAGAUCUAUUCAUGGCAACUCUCUCAAGUCUCACCUCCGCGGUUGAUGAGCUCCUUGAUCCGGCCCACGAGGCGCAGGUACCCGUCGUCGUCGAGGAAGCCCACGUCGCCCGUGUGGAACCACCCGUGCCGGAACGCCUCCCGGUUGGCCGCCGGGUUGUUCUUGUAGCCGCCGGUCACGUUGGGCCCCCGCACGCACACCUCCCCGGGCGCGUGCGGCGGACGCGGGUUCCCCUCCUCGUCGAGCACCGCCAACUCCUGGCCCACGGCCCGGCCCACCGACCCGGCCUUGUGGGCCCCGUCCUCGGGCAGCGGGUUCGACGUCAUCAGGUGCGCCGCCUCCGUCAUGGCGUACGCCUCCAGCACCGGCGCGCCCAGCGCCGCCUCCAGCCGCGCCAGCACCGCCGGGGCCAGCGACGCGCUGCAGCUCCGCACGAACCGGAGCCGCGGGUAAGCCCCCUCCGGCUCCGGCCGCGCCGCGUGCCGGUCCAGCAGGAUCUGGUGGACCGUCGGCACCGCCGUGUACCACGUGGCGCCCGCCGCGCGCAUCUCGCCCCAGAACGCCGACGCCGAGAAGCGCCCCGCGACGGGGAGCGCCGCGGCGCCGCCCGCGGCGAGCGAGCUGAGCAGCGCCGCGACGAGCCCGUGGACGUGGAAGAGCGGGAGCACCACCACGGUCGCGUCCGACUCGCUGAGCCGGUACACGGACCGGAUGUUGCUGACCGACGCGGCCAGGUUGAGCUGGGUGAGCGGGACCCCCUUGGGUCGGCUCGUCGUGCCCGAGGUGUGGAGGAAGAGGGCCACGUCGGAGGGCUCGUUGCCGAACAGGGCGGCCUCCGGGUCGGACCGGGCCGGGAGGGAGAGCCGGACCGGCCCGGCCGCGUCGGCGAGCGCGGCGGUGGCGCGGGGGAUCCCGAGCUUGGACGCCGCGGCCUCGGCGGCGGCGUUGCCCUCCGCGUUUGUCAACAGGAGGGUCGACUCGGAGUCGGAGAGGUAGAACUCGAACUCCUCCGCCGUGUACGCCGAGUUCAGCGGCGCCGCCACCGCCCGGGCCCGUAUCACCGCCAGGAACAUGAUCACAUACUGCACGGAAACCCAAGCAGAUACUCAAUAACCUUUUUUUUUUCUUUUUAAUAUUAAACUUUAAUAUCAAUUUAAUAUAAAUAUAUGUAAAAUUUUAUUCUAGCGAAAGAAAAUUAAAUAAGACUAGAAAUCUGGAAGGAAGAAGAAAAAAAGGAUAGGCGGUGGCAGGGGGGACCUCGACGGUGUUGGGGAAGGUGAGGGCGACGACAUCGCCCGGGCGGACGCCUGCGGCAGCAAUGGCGGCGGCGGCGGACUCGACGAGGUCGUGGAGCUGCGCGUGCGUGAGAUCGAGCUUGCCGGGGACGAGGAGGGCGCGCCGGCCGGGGAAUUUCUCCGCGGCCUCCUUCAGAAGCCCAGUUAGGGUGAGCCCUUCCUUGUUCGCCAUUUUCCUUAUAUUUUUCUUUCUAUUUUUUUUUUAAAAAAAACCUAUAAACAAAUUGUGGUAUGCAGCAGAGCGGAAAGAAUUGAGGAGUAGGAUGAUAUGGUUUGGUAUUUAUAGGCAGUUAAGAAAGUAAAGUCACAGGGGAACCGACGACGAGUAUCUCCUGCUGAUCCGCGUGUAUAAUAUAAUAUAUAUAUAUAUAUAUAUAUAUAUAUAUAUAUAUAUAUAUAUAUAUUANUUUAUGUGCACGUAUCUAGUAUUUUAAUUUAUAGUGAUAAAUUUAAUAAAUACUGGCCAAAAUUUUACUGUUGUUGUAAAUUACUAUAAUUUAUAUGCUUUUUGAUAUAAAAAUACUUUAAAUAUUAUUAUAAAGAAAUAAUUUCGAUGUGUACUUUUUCUUCGAAGGAGGGGACUUGGCCGUGCUGCGACGCGUGCGAGGGAUGGGUGAGCAGUGAUUCCCGGGUAGUUGGCGCUCGCGCCACCUCCGGGCCCGCGAGCUGCUGCCACGUGUGCGUCCCUUCGCGGCCUGGAACGUGGAAAGUCGUACGUGCACCUGGUGCGCCAUUACGCCCUGUGUACCGCCCUUCUUAAUCUCAGCUGUUAGUCCUGCAGUAUUUUCAAUUGCACCGUUAGUUAGUUCUUAAUUUUGGGACGGGUUUUAUUUUCGAUCUCUAAUUUCAAAGCUCGUAAUUUCAAACCUUGCAAAAAGUAUUUCAUUUUGAUCCUUUCCCUUGUUAAUUAUUUAUUAAAAAAAAAUUACUUUAGGGGCAUGAUACACAUCUUUAUUUUCACGUGAUCUUGCAUCCUGUUCUAAUCCUAUUGUUUACCAAGUUGCAAUCUAACGGAUAUGAAGCAAUGAACUCAUGAUGUAAGUCAACAAAGAAAAGAAUUUCAAAAGCAUGCAAAUUACUUGUGAAGCGCUGAUAGAAAAUCGUGGUGCAUGGGGUAUACUAAUACACUGAAUCUACAGAAAUCCUUGCAAGUGGAGUGGUGGCAUUAUCUGGAGCAGGGAAGAUUGAUUUUUUUGGAUUCUGGCUGCUUCUGGACGCGGGCGCUUCGUUUUUCUGUUGCAACCUCCACCACUUGUACCUUUUCUAGCUUUUUAAUGAAAAAGAAGACAAUCCAAUGAUGUUAUUGGCGCAUCCGGAGAUAGGACCAGGCUAGAAUACUGUUAAUAAUAAAUUAAUUAUUUAUAUUAUUAAAUUUUUAAUUUUUGGAUGAAGCGAUAUGCGCGGUUGGAAUAAUAAUAAUUUUCUAAAGUUGAGUGGAUAGUUAGUUCAACAAUAUAAUUUAACGGAUAAAAAUGAUCAAAAUGAUAAAUCUAACGGCAGAAAAUUUGGUAACACCAAGUGUUUGGUGUCAUCGAUAGCCGGACUUCUGAAGAUAAAUAUAAAUUUUUGUAUUUUUAUUUAUUCAAAGGUUUUAAAAGUCAAAUAUAUAUAUAUUCUGAAAUGCACGAGCCGAUCAUAAUUGAGAUUAUAUCUGAUUUGCUUGCCAACGUGUCCGACUAGAUUAAAUCGGGUCAUGUGGUGUUCGGUCCAGUCGGGUUCGACUAGAGUUCGGGUGAUGUCCAAUGUUAAGUUACCUGAUAACUGUGUAUAAGGGCUACUUUAGCUAGAGCGUUACUCUUGAUACAAAAUUUUCUAUAUCGGCGGCGUGCUUCGUGUAGAUGUAGUUCUCUGAGUCGUUUUAGUAAACUCCUAAUGGCCUCUGGAGUCUACGAAAGGCUACGAUUGGAGAGACGACACCGUAACUUUCCCAACCCAACAUUGUCGUCUAUUCUACGCUACUAUUUAACAUAAUUGUUACAUCCUGCUUUGAACUAUUGUCAUGAUACGUCACCAUUCCAAAUUCUCAAUUAUUAAUUAUGGCUCCAAUGGAACUCUGAGCUAAUUAAUAUAAUAUAGACAAUUUAGGAUUAAUAUUCUCUAACGAUGCUUCCGCUACCGCUAGGCACACCAAAAUAAUACAUAAUUGAGUGUUACAACUAAUGCACGCCCAAACGAGGCUGAUCUGAACUAGGCAAACUAAAAACAAGUAGAGUCAAAAGUUAAUCUAAUGGCAACUUGGUAAUUAAUUCGUACACCUUCUUGUGUAGGAAAAGAGCGGUAGCGACAAGCCUUGUGUUAUCAAAUUGAAGCUCCGUGUGCUUUUGCAAUUUAAAGCUGUGUCUCAAUUGUCUCGUCUUUUUUUGACAAAAAGUGAUGAUGCGCGAAUUGUUCGAGCAAAUUCCUUUCUCCGAUCACUCAUUAGUUUCGACUCAUGGGAUUGUACGAUGGCUGUGAAUGAAGCUAUAGUUAUCGGCAUGGAAAAUUUCCUUAUAUUGGAGCCAUUCUGCAUUACACUAAGGAUGCGUUUGGUUUGGUUCGCAUUAUGAAAGAUUAUUAGAAAUUAAAAAAUAUUCGAGAAUUUUAUUCCUAUUUAUCUUAUUACUAAGAAUGUUAAAUUUCUGUAUUUGAUUCGUACGGCCAUAUUAUUUAGCUAUGCGAUUUAAGAUUACAAAAAAUAUACUAUUGAUUUAUUUAUUUAUUUGUAGAUAAUGCUAUAAAAAAUUUCAACAUCUUUUUAGAAAAAAGAGAGAGAACAUAAAUUAGAAAAAAAGAGUAUAAUUAAAAAAAAUAGAAAGAGAAAUAGAGUCGAAAUUAGGAGUGAGAGAGUUGAGAUUUUAGAAAAAGUGGGAGAGAGAAAGCCUAGUUUAGAGAGAGAAAAAGAAUUGAAGUUUAAAGAGAAAAAUAUAAGUUUAGAGAGUGAUAUGAGGUUAGAAUGUAAAGAAAAAUAAUACCAACUAGUCGGCGGGUAGAGAGAAAAAAAAAGAUUAGACAUAUUAUAAUUACUCCAAUCCAUUAAUAUGAGGAUACUCAUCAUCCCUCAAGGAAAUGAGAUUAGUACUUUGGGAUGAAUUUCAUUCCCAAGUAAUCUAAUAUUACCAACUAGAUUACUUAGUUCAUUUAGCCAAACACCGUCAUAUUUUUUUUAUUCUUAUUAGAUUUCUAGAAAUCUUUAAAAGAUAGCGCGAACCAAACGCACCCUAAUGCAGAUGCCACAUAGAAAGUUUCUGCUGAUGAGUAGUGGAAUAUUCAUUCCAUGUGUAGAAAUUUUUUACACAUAAAAUUGUAUCUAAUCAAAACGUGCAUUGAAACCACCUGCACCCUGGGAGAGAUUUGAGUUUUAUUCUAAUUCCAAUCCCAGCAUAUAAUGAAAUGUCUAGUCUAGAAAAGAAAGGGGGGAAAAAAGAAAAUCCAAAAAGAUAUUUGAAUACAUCUGCAGCUAGGCCUGCUAAUGAGCCGAAUAUUGGGGCCCAUUAGACUUCAUUCGUCCCCUGCCGUGGAAGUGGGCUGGGCUAGGACACGGUCCACCGCAUCAUCCGUGCACCACCAAAGUUUCACAAAUUAUUUUAUUUUUUGCUUUCAAUUUUAUUUUUACUUUUAAUUCCUAUUAUAUUUUAUGUUUGUUGCAGAGCGUGCAUAACAUUUAAAUGGAGAUGAGAAAAAGAGCCCAUGCCUACUAAAGAGAAAGAUGUUGGACGUAACGAGUAUCUGGUCUCAGUAUUCAAUAAUUUAUUUAUAUCAAACUAGUAUUAUUGUGCUAUACAAAUACAAGGAAAUGAACAGUUAAAGUGCAAAAUAUUUAUUAUUGUAUUUUUUAUAUAUAACUUAAUUGUUUUGACUUAAUAAUACUGUUAAGUUUUAUGCGUAGUAGCUGUGAUAAAAGCAAGAGCAAACUCGGCCCACUUGAUUUUCCCAUGACUGGUGUACCGGUGACGUGGUGGACGUGGUCCGUGGAUAUCUCGUCUUGGUAAUUUCGCAAAACCUUCGAAGGGCCAUGGUACGAGAUAUUUAUUCCUUGUGGGGUCCACAUGAUCAAAGGGAUCUGGGCCCACGUGCGACGUGACUGAUCCGAUGGCGUCAACGCCACGUGGAACAUGAGUAGCCGCCCCUCUCUUUUCAUGUCUGAAUUAAUUAUUUUUUAUUAAAAAUAUAUAUAAUAACUUUAUUUUUUAAUAAAGAUGACACGUAUACACCUUGUCAGUAUAAUCUGAUUUAUUGAAGACAUACAUAAAUAAUUUUUAUUUUUGCUGCUUGAACUUUACAAUUUUUGUACCUGCGUUGUGUUUCAAUAAUUACACCGAGCUACUCGAGUAAAAUAAUGUGUCUCUUUCCUCUUAACUUUUAAUGAAAAGGGAAAACUUUAAAAAGUCCCCCAGUGGUUUCGUAGUUUCUCACUUUGCUUUUCUGUGGUUUAAAAUAUAUCAAUUUGCCCUUCUGUAGUUUCUUUUUUCUCUUUUUCUUAUAAAUUUCAUUAUUUUUUUUCUUAAAUCAGUGAUAAAAUUAAAAUUAAAGAGUACUAAAGUGAAUAUUUGAUAAAUCUAGAUGGGUAUCUGAAGUUUUUUAUAUAUAAUUUAAUAAAAAUUAUUAACGAAAAAGCUACCGACAAAAUAAAAACGAAACCACAGGGGGCAAAAGUGAGAAACUACAACACUACAGGCGGGGUUUUUGAAGUUUUUCCUAGUGAAAAAUAUAUAGUACCUAUGAUCUAUAUGUGUGUAUAAAUUUUUUUAUACCUUUAUUAUUCUUAGAUUCACAAAAUUUUAAAUAUAAUUUUGAUAAAAAAAAUAUUUAUAAAACUAGUGGGAAAUAAGAGCUCUUGGAAAAGUAGGUUGUUUUUAAAGAAUAUUAGUGAUACAUUGAGAAAUUAUACAACCCUUUUGGAGUUCAUUUAUAUACCUAUUGAAAACCUUAUCAUUAUGCCCUUGAAAACCUUAUCAUUAUGUUUAUACAUCAGCUGCAUGUAAAAACAAUGUUCUACUAUGAUAUUUUUUAUUGUUAUAAUUUCUUGGCAAUUGUUUUAUGUGUUGUUAAUGUGUGGACACUAAUUGUAAGGUAGGGACCUUUGAUUAAUUUAUAAAAAUAUUUCAAGAGUGUAAUAAAACUUCAUUUAUACAAUAAUUACCCUGUGGAGGCAACAUGAGGAAAAAUCCAAUUUAUAUUUUUCCUCGCUUUCUGGCAAGUCAAUAGGGUCCCCUCGCAUAUAUGAAUAUAAAGUUAAGACAAAAGCAUAUAUGAAUAUGCUUUCAUAUUUUCUAGUGGAAUGAUAAAAAAAUAUAUAUGUAUUGCGAUGUGCGAAAUAUGAUAUUAUGUACGAAAAUGUAUUGAAUAUUUCUCAUUAUAAACGCACAAAAUGUAAUCUCCCUACAAUCUUCCACAGAUCAUAUUUAUGCUUGAAACGUGACUUAAACUUGGCACUUACUACGUCAUCAACCAACAAAUGUACCUGUUGCAAGGUGGUGGAUCUUUCGACCUUUGAGAAUAAUUAAACUAGACCACAAACACAUACAAUCAAGAUCUAACUAUCAACUUCUCUCUUAAAGAAAGGCGCCUUGCCAACUAAAUUAAUUAUACAGUUGUUAAAUAAAAACCGAUUCUAAAAAUUCAAAUCAGCACUUCUAAUUAUAAGCUAAUAAAAAGAGGUGGAAACAUUUUUUUUUUUUUCUUUUUUGAGAGAGAGAAUGAUUGCAUGCUAUCUGCUUCAUAAUAAAUGAACGUAGCUGAAAAUAUGAAGCUAUUAAGUUUUGAACUUAAAACUUUGAUUAUUAAUCAUUAAAUUUUUUUACCACUUGUGUUAGAAACGAUUGAUAAAUAAAAGAAAAAUCUUGCACAGAGGAAUAUGCCAUGGUUGGAAUACUUUUACUCUAUCUGAGGGUGCAUCACAUGUUGUGGAAUUUUCAUAGGGGGGUCGCGGGAUUCAACGAUUUGGAUAAAAGCAGCAACAUGUCGAUGCUUGUCACACGUUAUACCUAAUUAGCUAGCUUAGGAUUCGAAUAUUAUUGAUGCUGAUGUCGCAACUCACAAGUAAAUGUUACCCAGUACUUAAGGACAAGUUUUAUUGAAUUAAAAUCUCAAAUACACGUUAAUUAUUCUGGAUUAACAGACUCAAAAAUGAUUUGAAGCGAUUAAUUUUUAGCAUACAAAAAUUUCAUAAAAUUAAAUUAUUUUAUAAAAUUUAGAAAAAAGAUUUUUUUCGUGUAUAAUUUUUUUAUGGGUAACAAAUAAAUACAGUUAGAGAUUUAUUUUUGCUUUGCAUUUAUUCAUUGAGAUCACACUGGAUCUCAUCAGUUCUCUUUCAUGAAAAAUCCCUUUCCAGAAUUUUGUGUUCACACGUUUAUGUGUGAAGGUUCUCCUAUCUCUUUCAUAUUUAAAAAAUCUUCAACGUCAUCAACAUUUGACAACUGUUGUUAGAUAGAUAUGUUUUUAAGAUUUUCUUUUCCGCAGUAUAAAUAAAAGUUUUAAUUAAAGGCUUUCUUUUAGUUUAAAAUUUUUCUCAUUUAUGUACUAAGUUUUUUUUUAAAAAAAAAACUUUUUCUCUAGUUUUUUUAUUUUAUUAGUAAAACCGAAUGCUUCAUUUGGGAUUGCAGAGAGAUUGUUUUACGUAUGGUGAGAAAGUACGAUGAAAAAAUAUUCUGUUUGUUUCGGUACGUAAUAUUGUAUUCUGCAUACCGCAACGAGUCGGUUAUGAUAUAUUUUCUGCGGUCCCGCAGGAGAACGCAGAACCUUAUCCCUAUAUACUUUUAUCCCGACUUUAUUUUAUCUAAUAAUGUUAGAUAGACAUCAAUACCAAAUCAACCCUUAAUAAGAAAUUCUACCACCUUCUUUACUUAUUUUGCUGAAACUUAGUUAUAUUACAUGCAUUUUUCACAUAAUAAAUAUUUUAUUUUAGCAUAAAUGAUCAAAGUUUAGUGCAUUCUUAAUAUAUAGAUAAUUAAACUUUAGGCCAAUAAUUAUAGUUAGAUAAUAUUUUGUUUUUGGGUGUAGUCAAAGUGAAAACAACGUAUAAUUUUUUUAUUUCUAUAUAUAUAUAUAUUCUCUUAUGAGGAACUAGACUGGAAUGCUAUCAAUAACACCAAGCUAUCGGUAUUAUUAAUUUUUUAGCCCUUGGAUUCAGAAAUGUGCAAUUAGGAUGAUAUGGACCCAUUAGGGUUGAGUGGGUGGUUGAUUGAAUAGGAUAAUCUAAUGAAUAAAAAUGAUCAAAGGGUUAAAUCUAACGGUGGAAAACUCGAUAGCAUCAAGCCCUUAGUGCUAUCGAUAGUAUCCCAGCUGAACUCAUCUUAUGAGUAUACUCUUACGAGUAUAGACUUUUUUGUACUUAUAAGUAUUCCAAGCUGUAUAGACUCUUAUGAGUAUAGAUUUCUUUGUACUUAUAAGGAUACUCCUUUUAUGAGUAUCCCAGCUGGACUCCUCUUAUGAGUAUACUCUUACGACUAUAAACUUUUUUGUACUUAUAAAUUUUCUGCCGUUAGAUUUACCUUUUUAAUCAUUUUCACCCGUUAGAUCAUACUAUUUAACUAACCACCCAUUCAACCUUAGGAGACCAUUAUCAUCUUACUUGAAAAUCAUUAUAAUUCUAAACGCACGCCUUUAUUUAAUUGCUAAAAAUUUAUGAGUACAAAAAAAUCUAUACUCAUAAGAGUAGAGUAGUCCUAUCCUCUAUAUAUAUAUAUAUAUAUAACUUAAAAAAAAAAUCGAGGGAUAAAUUCGUCAUUUGACAGGACUUUUUUUAUAAACUAACUCUCUAAAAUUUUAAAAAUUGUGAAAUAAUCCUUCAAAAAUUAUAUUUGUAAAACUAACUCUCCUUUCGCUACGUAGGCAGAGGAAAAUUUUUUAUUAUAAAGGUGGUGAAUCGUUCACCGUCUUCAGUAAGACAGUGAAUUAACGAUUCAUCAUCUUACUAAUAUAAUUAGUAAAGACGGUAAAUGGUUCACCGUCUUUUGCUUAUUUAAUAUUUUUUCUUAUAUCCCAUAUAUAAUCUUAACAACAACAUAAAAAUUAUAACAAAUCACAUAUAAUUUUAACAACCUAAAAAUUCUAAUAAUCUAUCCAUACAAUUCUAACAAUUAAAUAAAAAUUUUAAUAAUCCUCAUAUAAUUCUAAAAAUCUCACUUUUUUCUAUCUCCCAUCUAACAGCCUCACAUUUUUAUGUACGUGGAUUAUAUGGAAAAUAGAAAAAAGUUAGAAGAAAAAUAGAAAAAAGUGAGUUUGUUAGGAUUAUACGUGGAUUAUAUGGAAAAUAAAAAAAAAGUGAGGUUGUUUGAUGAAAAAUAGGAAAAAGUGAGGUUUUUAGUAUGCGUAUUAAAAUUUGUAUUUGAUUGUUAGAAUUAUAUGGAUAGAUUAUUAGGAUUUUCAGGUUGUUAAGAUUAUAUGUGAUUUGUUAUAGUUUUUACGUGGUUGUUAAGAUUAUAUGUGAUUUGUUAUAGUUUUUAUGUGGUUGUUAAGAUUAUAUAUGGGAUAUAAAAAAAAUAUUAAAUAAGCAAAAGACGGUGAAUCAUUCACCGUCUUUACUAAUUAUAUUAGUGCUGAAGGUGGUGAACGAUUCACCGCUUUUAUAAAAAAAAUUCAUUAGUACUGAAGGCGGUAAAUCGUUCACCGCCUUUUUCUAAAAAAAAUCUAUUCUUACGCCUACGUGGCAAAAUGAAGGUUAGUUUUACAAAUAUAAUUUUAAAAAGAUCAUUUCGCAAAUUUUAAAAUUCUAGGCCACCGUUUGUUUCGAGGUUAAGUAAAAACUUGUUAUUUCAGGAAUAGAAUUAAGUUCAGGGUUAAGAUGGGGUUAGAGUAAUUUUGUGUUUGGUUGAGAAUUGGGUUUAGUUCAGGUAUAAAUAAAAUAGUGUUUGGUUGGAGUAGGUGGGAUAAGGAGGGUAGUAGGUAAAAUAAUAUUUUGUUUGGUUAUAGUAGUAGGAUGGGAUGAGGUAAUUCCAUCCCUAAAUUAGAUGUUUGGAAAUAACUUCGAAGUUAAAGGGUUAUUCCAUCCGUUAAUCCUGAACUAAACGGGUGCUAGAGGAUUAAUUUAUAAAAAAAAGUCCCAUUUGACACGCCAUGUGUGGAAGGGCCCGCCGGUGUACUCAUAACAGUAACCUAAAAAUUCGCCCCCGCUUUGACGCCACCUACUGAGUUAUUAACUUAUUACUUUCCCCGUUAACUCAGACAAAACUCUUCCUAGACCGCGUCCUGUAGACCGGCCACUUUAAAACUGCACAUCAACACCCUCCCAACGCUCCACCCCAACUGGUUUAUUUCUUUCGGAUGACGUGGUACACUCGGUCCACUCAGCAAGCUUUUGUGGGGGUCUCCGCUCCCAAGCGCGUUUCGCGUGUUUAAUUCAAAUUAAUUAAAACGCUAAUUAAGUGCAGCGUCGGCUCAUAAUCCCGUUUAAAGAUUACGUACUCACCACUCAUUAAGAAGAAAGGAUACAAAAGGGGGCGAAAAAGCGAAAGGGAGCACCAAUCCGAAACGAAGUCGCUGUCUCCUUCCCUCUGUUGAUAAUGGCGUUUGGGUCUCUUCCUCCCCCUUCUCUCUAAUUUCCACGAGGUUGGUUGAUCUUCUGCUUCUUCUUCUUCUCCGUGCUUCGCCUGAAUCCUUAGUUGCCAUGGAUGAGGUAUUAAGUUUCUCCCUGUGACAGGUGGAGCCAGCUUCGGAGGUUCGGAUUCGCUUCAGAUUGAGCUAACGAGCGAAUAUUAGCUUCAGGUUGAGAAAGCCUUCGUGAUUCUGUUUUGUUUGUUUGGAUUUUACUUUUUGAGGUAUUUUCUUUACUUUUUGAGGUGUUUUCUUUUGGAAUAUUCGAUUAUUUUGGCGUUUGUUUUGGAUUAUGUUACUAUUUCGUGCGGAAACGAUUGGAUCUGAGUGGUUCUGACGCUCUACGGCAUCUUAGGGUUCUGAUCUGCGCGUUUUGACUGUUGUGUAGUGGUUCCUCUUCGAGUUGUUCUCUUUAGCUUAAAUCACUAGGAAUGAUGCGAUCGUGGUUUUCUUCUUUUUUUUUUUUUAUUUUGAUCGCGCUAUUAGUAUGAAUAGCGGGUUGUUUAGUAAUGUAGGUUGUAUCUUCCCCAAAAGCAAAAGGGAGGACAAAAGAUUUAGAAAAAAAAAAGAAAAAGAAAAAGAUAGAGACAGAACCCUAAUCGACUUUGCUUUAAUAUGUAUAUUAUUUUGAUUUUUAAACUAAUGUGGUAUGCUGUACGUCCAGAUCUGAUUAAUUGGGAUAAAGAAAGAGGCGAUCUUACGUUUCAAUCUACACCUGCUCUGCUUGGAAUCUGGUCAAAUUUUAUUUUCCUUUGGGUAAAGAUGGAUGGAGACCCCUCAACUAUAGCCGGUUUUGAAGUAGUCCUCGGAUCUUUAUUUUUUCUCAGACUGAGACCCCAUCAACUUUCAGUUAUUUUGAUUUAAGUGAUUCAGAUCAAAUUAGCUUAGGAUUUCACUACAUUUAGUAGUUAUACAAGUGUUCUAACUAAUAAAAUGUUGAUUUCAAUGCCCGAUAGCGAGUGAAGUCAUUAAUUUUGACAAAAUUGCUUAUUCAAUAUAUUGAAAUAGCCUAAAUCAAAUUAAUUGAAAGUUAACAAGAAAAAUAUAGUCAAGUGUCUAGCUGAGGGGGUAUCCUUACAUUUUUCUUACCUUUCUUUUUCUUUUUCUCUGUCACCAAAGACCUUCUACUUAGUUGUUGCAUUUCUUCUAAUAAUUCUAUGGCUCAGUCAGCUUAUGAAAACUAGAGAUUGUAAUAUUUGCUUUUGCUUCUACCUCGUGCUGCUUUGAUUCUGCACUGUUACAGAAGUGUGUUUACUCCGCAAGUUUUUUGAGUUCUGUUUUCCAGCAAGAGGUCUAGUCAUGUCGACGAACUCUUUUCAUUUAUGCCAUAGGUCUUGAAUGCUUAUGCAAUCAAUACAUUGUGUUUUUCUUUUGAUUUCAACCUAUUUCUUCUCUGGUGUUUGAUUUGUUGAGGCAGCAUGUGUUGUAUAAGUAUCUUUGUUAGCAUGCUUUAUCGAUUGAUAAACUGAUGGUUGUGCAAGUGUUCUGAGAAAAGCAACUUCGUUAAUUCUAGAAUUUGUUCCUAUGAGAGAUCUGGUCAAAGCAGAUUUUUCAUCUUUUCCUUCAAAUGUGCAAAAGUUUAGAUGUCUAUAUGAUAUUGGUUUCUUUGGAUCUUAGAUGGUUUUAUUUCAGUUGGUUACUGAUUUCAUUGCUGAACCUUCAUGUAAUUCCCCAGCAAAAGGGGUCAUGCUAUUAUAAUUUUUUUAUUUUUUUAACUGAUUGAUUCACUUAGUACCUUCUGGCUCUUUCUUUGUUAUCUUACAAGUUUUCUGUGUUGCUUGUUGAUAAUAUAGCUUUCAUAUUUAGUAAUUUUUGCAGCGUAUUUGUAUAUGCUUAUUUGUAGUGCAGAAUGCCUCAUAUAUUGUUAGGGAUGCAAACGGGGCGGAUCUGGGGGCGGGAGCCCCGCCCCGCCUCCCGCCCUGACUAGCAAAAUUCCGCCCCGCCUUCCACUCCGAAUCCGUGACGGGUUAAAAAAUACAUCCCAUAAUCCGCCCCGCCUCGUAACCCGCCUCCCGCCGGUGCCCCGAAUCCGCCCCGCCAACUAAUAUUUUUUAUAAAAUUAUAAUAUUAUUAAUAUUUUGUAAAAUAUAAAUUAAUAAUUAAUAAUAUUAUAUAUAUAAUUUAACAAUAUCAAUUAUAAAAACCAAAAAUAUCAAUCACAAUUCAAAACAAAAUUCAAAAUUUUCAAAAACAUUAGAAAUGAGAGUACUAACUUAUUUGUAUUUUGAACUUUUUUUGUAAAUACAUUAUUUUUUAGGAAUAUUUUUGUAAAAUAUAAAUGAUUUUUGGGGCGGAUUCGGGGCAGAUUCGGGGCGGGUCAAAAUUUCUCCCGUUUUAUGCCCCGAAUCCGUCUCGGAUCGUAAAAUUUAUCCCGUUUACUGCCCCGAAUCCGUUUAUUUUCUCCCAUUUACUGCCCCCGUCGGGGCGGAUUGGGGCGGGAGCUCCACCAACCCGGAUCUGUUUGCAUCCCUAUAUAUGGUUGUUGUGACAUCAAAUCAUAAGGUGGAAAGUCAGAUAUAUAUUAGAUGUAUAUUCACCAUUCUGAUCUGAAUAACAUUUUUAGAAUUUGGCCUUGUUAGACAGCACUUUAUAAGAAUUGAGAUCUUGGCAUUCUCUUAUUGUGGUGAAGUGCAUGGCAAGACAACAUGGUUGGUUGGAUUUCUCUGUCUAGGGCACUAGCAACUAAAAAGCAUUUUCAAAGAAACCACAAUAUUUUCUUUCCCUACGUCAGUAAGUUCAACCACUUGGAACAGGAACAGUAAGUCGUAGAGAGAAAAAAAUAUAUGCAAUUACAAUAUUUUGUCCAUUUAAUUGCAUAUUUUUCAAGAGUGAAAAAAGUAGGAGUUUAGGGGGUAGGAGUUGGGGGAUAAAAUGCUACCGCACUAUUACCGACUUUAGAGGUAAGGUCAAAAACUCAUAUUCCUUUCUCUGAGAUAAAAAUUGCUUUCCUGAUGCCAACAAGGAAAUCAGCAGAAUUAUGUAGGGAAAGCAAUUUUGAAGGACCUGAUGCUUCACAACCUUGUUAUAUUCGUGCAUAGAAAAUACUGCAUAUGCGAGAUCAUCAUGGUACGAGGUGAUAUAAGGAUUAGUGGGCGAGCAACCUAGUGGAUAGGCCAAUAGGCUCAGGGUUGUGUAAAAUUGUGGAGUAGAACCAAUCUAAUCAUCCAAGAUUUGGAGAUCAGACUUUCAUUUUGAAAAUCAGCUAUUUUGCAGAGUCUAGCAAAAGGGAUUUUGAGGUAGAUGUGUAUCCCAAUAUGUGCAUGAGAUCAUACAGUUGUCUUUCUGAUUCUCAAGCUGUUUUAGUAAAUGAACAGAUGUAUAGAGCAUCAGUUUAUUAUUUGAUUUCUCAAUUGCCUUAUUUGAUUUCUGAAGAGUUAGGAGGAAGGUUUUUGCAUAUUGACUGGAUUUUGUGCUUUCAACAGGCUCGUCCAUUAUCAUAAAUGAUUCUUGUUUAGGUGCAUAUAUGUAUGCUUAGAAUAUGUAGAAACUUCGUAAGCUACCUAACUGUACCUAACUACAUAUGAAAGUGGAUAAGUUAAUAGAUUCUAAUAUUUAUCUUCUCAAUUGUGUGGUUAACGUACCUAUUUUUCGAAACGUCUUUUAGAAGAUCAAGUGUACUCUUGUGUUCCAAUUUUUAUGUUCUAAUUAUGUGUCAUUAGCCUGCCUAAUUCUUGAAAUGUAAUUUAGUAGGUGAGGUAUACUUGUAAAGGUGGAUAUAUUGUCUUUCUUGUAUUACUGGCUUGUUGGAAGUUUGAAGUACAACACUAAGCACGAUAUUAUUUUAUAGUAGCUGAAAAACAUGUUACUUUAUUUCAACCAACUUCUUUUCAAGUAACCUUGGGAACCUUUGGGACCCAAGGUUUGUCAAAGUUGAAAAGUUUGUGUAUUUCCCUUACUGUCAAGAACCUCCGUAAUGCAAACUUUAAGAUCAUGAAGAUAACUGGAACUUACAUCAUGCUUCUAACAAUGAUCUCCCUAUACUUUAUUUACAUUGCUGCUGCCUACUUUAUUUAUAGGCAUAGCAUUUUUGCAUUAUGUGUCAUUUUGUUCUGAUAGUCAUUGUCAGGACUGCAAUGCUCAGAUUAGCGAGCUUCUCAUUGUAGUAAUGUUUCCUCAAUUGGGUCAUAUAUCCAUAUUCUCUGGCAAAUUCUAAUAUGAAAUUUAAAUUGAGGAUUUAAAUGCCUAAAUAGCUAAUUCUUCUUAUUAUAUCUUAAAUAAAUUUAUAUGAAUAAUUAUUUAAUGGUCCUUUCCAUGUUUGUCUCUUUUUCAUUUGCAAUUUUCAUUUACGAAAUCCUAGAUAUGCUCUGCCACAUGUCCAAUAUCACCACUAACAUCAUGUUCUAACUCCUUUUUUAUCAGAUAAAUAUUCCUCAACCUAGCACAACCAUUUGUAUCAAAGAUGAGUAAUUACAAGCUAGGGGUGGAGGUUACAAGUGCGCACGACCUAAUGCCCAAGGAUGGGCAAGGUUCUGCUAAUCCCUGUGUGGAACUACACUUUGAAGGCCAGAAAUUUCGCACCACCAUCAAGGAAAAGGACCUCAACCCGGUCUGGAAUGAGUGUUUCUAUUUCAAUGUUGCAGACCCCGAGAACCUCCCCAACCUUGCUCUCGAAGCCUAUAUCUACAAUGUAAGCAAAACCAUGCACUCUAAGUCCUUCCUAGGCAAAGUCCGGAUUGCAGGCACCUCUUUUGUUCCCUUCUCCGAUGCUGUUGUAAUGCAUUACCCGCUGGAGAAACGUGGGAUCUUCUCCCGUGUAAAAGGAGAGUUGGGGCUAAAAGUAUUCCUUACUGAUGAUCCCUCGAUCAGACCUUCGGAUCCUCUUCCAUCUUUUGAUCCUGUAGUUAAUAAUCCUCCUCAAGUACCAAAUCCAAUAUUCGAUCCCCCGAAAGAACGGAUGUCUGAAAAGAGGCAUAUGUUCCACACUGUCCCAAAAGAAGUCCAUCACCAUUCUACGGCUCCAAUUAGUGAGCAGUCAGUGAAGUACGCGACUGAUCAGAUGAAACCUGAGCCGCCCAAAAUUGUUAGGAUGUACUCGGCUGCAUCACAGCAACCGGUUGAUUAUGCGCUCAAAGAGACCAGUCCAUUUUUGGGGGGUGGGCGGGUUGUUGCCGGCCGGGUCAUACGUGCAGAUAAGCCUGCAAGCACAUAUGACCUUGUUGAACAGAUGCAGUAUUUAUUUGUUCGUGUGGUCAAAGCGCGGGAUUUGCCAGCCAUGGACGCAUCUGGGAGCCUUGAUCCUUUUGUGGAAGUGAGAGUUGGUAACUACAAGGGAAUAACUAAGCACUUUGAGAAAAAGCAGAAUCCAGAAUGGAACGAAGUCUUUGCUUUCUCGCGAGACCGGAUGCAGUCCUCAGUCCUUGAAGUCGUGGUCAAAGACAAAGAUCUGGUGAAGGACGAUUUUGUUGGGCUAGUGCGGUUUGAUUUAAAUGAUAUCCCAACCCGGGUCCCUCCUGAUAGCCCGUUGGCACCAGAGUGGUACAAACUUGAAGGCAAGAGGGGAGAUAAAACGAAGGGUGAGUUGAUGCUUGCUGUUUGGAUGGGCACGCAAGCUGAUGAGGCUUUUUCUGAUGCAUGGCAUUCGGAUGCUGCGGCACCAAUUGAUUCCGCAGUCAUAAACGCUCAUAUCAGGUCGAAGGUCUACCACGCGCCGAGACUGUGGUACCUUCGGCUCAACAUCAUUGAGGCCCAAGAUAUUAUUAUACCAGAUAAGACUCGUUUUCCUGAUGUGUAUGUUAAGGUCCAAUUAGGAAAUCAGUUUUUGAGGACAAAGGCAGUUCAGGCCCGAACAUUUAAUCCGCUCUGGAAUGAAGACCAUAUGCUUGUGGCUGCUGAACCAUUUGAGGAUCCCCUCAUUCUUUCUGUCGAAGAUCGUGUCGGUCCUAAUAAAGACGAGACAAUUGGGCGUGUUAUUAUACCGCUGCAAUCUAUUGAGAAGCGGGUCGAUGACCGUGUUCUCUAUGGCCGGUGGUUUAACCUUGAGAAGCCAUUUAUAGUUGAUGUGGAUCAGUUGAAGAAGGACAAAUUUUCGAGUCGAAUUCAUCUUCGUGUUUGUUUGGAAGGAGGAUAUCAUGUUCUUGACGAGUCAACUCACUACAGCAGUGACCUUCGACCUACAGCUAAGCAGCUUUGGAAACCAUCAAUAGGUCUGCUUGAGCUCGGUGUACUUAGUGCGGACGGCCUUCAUCCUAUGAAAACACGAGAUGGAAAGGGAACUUCAGAUACGUACUGUGUGGCCAAGUACGGCCAGAAGUGGGUUCGAACCCGAACGAUCAUCAACAGCCUGAGCCCUAAGUACAACGAGCAGUAUACUUGGGAAGUCUAUGACCCAUCUACCGUCCUCACUGUCGGAGUUUUCGACAAUUGCCAACUUGGCGAAAAGGGCGGAAACAGUAACGGUAACAAAGAUGUCAAGAUAGGCAAGGUCCGCAUCCGCCUCUCCACUCUCGAAACCGGGCGGGUGUACACACACUCUUACCCACUUCUGGUCCUGCACCCUUCGGGGGUUAAGAAGAUGGGCGAGCUCCACCUUGCCAUACGCUUCUCGUCCACAUCAUUGAUCAACAUGCUAUACAUUUACUCGCGUCCUCCGCUGCCAAAGAUGCAUUACACCCGCCCAUUAACCGUGAUGCAGCUUGAGAUGCUGCGCCACCAAGCUGUUCAGAUCGUCGCUGCCCGUCUGAGCCGUAUGGAGCCGCCCUUAAGAAAGGAAGUGGUGGAGUACAUGUCUGACGUCGACUCUCACCUUUGGAGCAUGCGGAAGAGCAAAGCGAACUUCUUUAGGCUGAUGUCCGUCUUCUCAGGCCUGUUUGCUGCAAGCAAAUGGUUUGGGGACGUAUGCGCGUGGAAGAACCCUAUCACGACUGUACUGGUCCACGUCCUCUUCAUAAUGCUCGUUUGCUUUCCCGAGCUGAUACUCCCUACAAUAUUCCUUUACAUGUUCCUGAUCGGGCUGUGGAACUACCGGUACCGCCCGCGCUAUCCUCCCCACAUGAACACGAAAAUAUCGCACGCUGAGGCCGUACACCCCGACGAGCUGGACGAGGAGUUCGACACGUUUCCGACGAGCCGCAGCGCGGAGUUGGUUAGAAUGAGGUACGACAGGCUGAGGAGCGUGGCAGGAAGGAUACAGACAGUGGUGGGCGACAUGGCGACGCAGGGGGAGAGGAUCCAGGCGCUGCUGAGCUGGCGGGACCCGCGGGCCACUGCGAUUUUCGUGCUUUUCUGCCUGAUCGCCGCAAUCGUGCUGUACGUGUCGCCGUUCCAGGUCUUGGCCGCACUGGUGGGGUUCUACAUCAUGAGGCACCCGAGGUUCCGCCACAGGCUGCCCUCGGCGCCGGUGAACUUCUUCCGGCGACUGCCUGCGCGGACUGAUAGCAUGCUGUAAAUAAGCAACCGAUGGAUGGUUUCCAUCAUCGAACUUGUCCCUGUAUGUCUGCUUUAUUGUUCUUAAAACUGCUUUCGUAAUGUAAGCCGUGUGUUAUUUGGAUCUAAUGGUUGUAUAAUUUGUUAGUAUCAGUGGUAAGAGACAUCGUAGUAGUAAAAUGAACAUUUUGGAAUCAGGACAAUUAUUAUGCAUUUUGCUGUUCAAUUCUGAAUGCAUGAUUGGUUCAGUAAGGUAAAUUUUUCUGUUUUUCAAUUCGGUAUGUAGGGUUAUGUAUAAAUUGCGAUAUAUUAACGGGGUGGUUCCACGCGUGCGACCAGACAUGGUUUUAUGAGUUAGCUAGGUUUAAUCUGACCAGCAAAAAUCGAGCUGGACAACCAGAUUCAUUCAUAUAUAUAUAUAUAUAUAUAUAUAUAUAUAUAUAUAUAGAGCAGGCUGUUGUCGCUCUCAGGAGCAAGGAGGCCUCCGUGCUCCUGAGCCGUUUUCGAUGAUGGAGUUUUCGAAUCGACGAUCGGCUCCGUUAAACUUGAUCUAGCAUAUUUAAAGUUUCUAGAAAAUAAUUUUUGCGAUUUUCGAUAUUAUUUACUAGCUAUCGAAAGGAUUCAAAAUCAAUAAUUUUAAACGGCUGAAAAUAAAAAAUCCUAUAAAAAGUGUUGAUAUAGCACUAAAAUUUCAUCAGAAUAUAUGAUCUUGUGUAGAUAUAUAAAAAAAAUUUCUAUUAAAAAUUUCAUCUGAUUGAAUACUUCUAACACGUUAAACUUGAAAACGCAGAUAUCAACCAUUAAAAAUUAUGGAUUUUGAAUUCUUCGAUCACUAGGUAAAUGAUAUUGAAAAAUCUGCAAAAAUUAUUUUCUAGAAUACUCAAAUGCGCUAGAUCAAGUCUAACGGAGCCGAUCGUCGAUUCGAAAAUUCCAUCAUUGAAAACGGCUCAGGAGCACGGAGACUCCGUGCUCCUGAGAGCACAGCAGCCCUGCUCUAUUAUAUUAAUAUUAUAUAUAUAAUAGUAUAUAUAUAUAUAUAUAUAUAUAGUUAAGCUGGAUACUAUCGUAGCAAACGGCUCCGUUGUCACCCAUUUGCUUCGAUGAUGAGCCCCAAAUCGACGAUCAGUACGUGUAAAGAUCUAAUAACACUUGAAGUAUCAGAAAAUCAAAUUUUCAUAAUUCCGAUAUUGUUUUCUUGCCAUCAAUUGGGCGUAAAAUGAAAUGCUGAAAUAAAUAUCCUCUAAAAGGUGAUAUAGAAAAUUUGUAAUCAUGAUCGAGAGUAUAGAUCUGUUCUAUAAUAGUUAAAGAAUUUCCACCAAAAUUCAAUUGAUUUGGAUAGUCUUAUAACCGUUAAACGAGAAAACCCCUCGUAUCAACCAUUAAAAUUACUAAUUUUGAAACCCUUUGACAUUAGGUAAAUGAUAAUAAAAAAGAUUUGAAAUUUAAUUUCUAAAUACUUCAAGUAAUAGAUCAUGUUCACGUACCGAUCAUCGAUUUGAAAGCUCCAUCAUUGAACAUUGGUGGCAACAGAGCCGCAGUUGGCUACCGAUAGCAUUCCAGCUCAACUCUCUCUCUCUCUCUCUUCCUCUCUCUAUAUAUAGGAGUUAGCUAAAUUGAGCUAGAAUACUUAUUACAAGUAUCACUCUUUGGUGCUAUUAGUUUUAAGCCCUUGGAUGCUACUCCUUGAUUACUAAAGCCCUUGGAUCAAACACUAUUCUACCUAACCACCACCUAUCACCAUCAUCCAACCCUACAUUUCUCUAUCAAGGUUAAAAAACUCACAGCACCAUUCUCUUGAUGCUUUUAAAAGUGAGGCUAUAUAUAGAGUAGGCUACUAUGCUAUCGGAAGCACGGAGCCUUCCGUGCUUUCAGCUCGUUUUCAUGUUGCGACUUUCAAAUCGUCGAUCGCUCCAUUAAAACUUGAUCUAGAGUAUUUGGAGUACCUAGAAAAUAAUUUUAUUAUUUUUCGAUAUCAUUUGCUAGUGAUCGAAUGGGCUCAAAUCAACAAAUUUCAAUGGCCGAGUGAGCCGUUUGUAAGUUUAACGUGUAGAAAUAUCCAAAUCACGUGAAAUUUUGAUAGAAAAUUCUUUAUACUAUAUAAAAAAAUCAAUAUCUUUGAUUAAAAUUUUAAUGUCAUAUUAUUACAUUUUGUAAGAUUUUUAUUUUCAGUCGUUGAUUUUGAGCCACUUCGUUCACUAGGUAAUGAUAAUCGUAAAAUCAUAAAAUUUAUUUUCUAGGUACUUCAUAUACUCUAGACAAGUUUAACGGAGCCGAUCGACGAUUGAAAGCCGCAACAUCGAAACACAAGCUGGAAGCACGGAAGGCUCCGUGCUUCCGAUAGCAUAGUAGCCUCACUCAUAUAUAUAUAAUAUAUAUAUAUAUAAUAAUAUAAUAUAAUAUAUAUAUAUUAUAUAGAGUUCGGCUGCUAUACUAUCGGUAGCACAGACGCCUCCGUGCUACCAAGUUGUUUUUGAUGAUGCGGCUUCCAAAUCGAUGAUCGGCUCCGUUAGACUUGAUUUACACUAUUGAAAAUAUUUGGAAACUAAAUUUCAGAAUUUUUCAACAUUAUUUGGUUAGUGAUCAAAAAGUCUCAAAAUUGACAAUUUUAAUGAUAGAUGUGAUGCAUUUGUAAAUUUAACGGUGUAAAACAAUCCAAAUCAGAUGAAAGUUUUAUAGAAAUUUUUUUUUAUUAUUUAAAGUAAGAUCAAUACCUCUGAUCUUAAAUUCAAGUCUUUUAUCAUCAUUUUUAUGAGAUUUUUAUUUUUAGCCGUUCAUUUUUAGACUACUCGUUUGAUAGGCAAAUGAUACCGAAUAAUUAUGAAAUUUAGUUUCCAAAUACUUUCAAUAGUAUAGAUCAAGUCUAACGGAGCUGAUCGUCGAUUUGAAAGGGGCAUCAUUGAAAACAACUUGGUAGCACGGAAGCCUCUGUACUACCGAUAAUAUAGCAGCCGGACUAUAUAUAUAUAUAUAUAUAUAGGAUUUAAUAUCAUUGCAAUUGCCAUUACAAAAGUAAUUAGCAUUUUUGGCAUUAAAAGAUAUUUUGUACUAGUAAUUAGUCCAGAGAAUACUACAAAUUCAGCAACAAAAUCACAAGGAGUCUAUUUUCUUACUUAAAGUGAUUUUGAGUGCCUGAACAUGGUAAAUAUUUUUGGCAUUGGGAUAGAUAUCCCUCCCAUUUCUUCGAGAUAAACAAGACGUGUUCUAUCACAACUCGUUCCCGCCAAGAAAAAAAGUGCAGCACCAAUAAAUCCAUGAGAGAGCAUUUGUAAAAUAGCUCCAUUGAGUCCCAUGUCGGUUAUAGAACCAAUUCCUAUAAUUGUGAAACCCAUGUGAGAUACAGAGGAAUAGGCUAUUCUCUUUUUUAAAUUACGUUGACCAAGAGAAGUUGAAGCUGCAUAGAUUAUUUGCAUUGUUCCUAUUAUCACCAACCAGGGAGAAAAUAUAGAGUGAGCGUGGGGUAAUAAUUCCAUAUUGAUCCGAAUCAAUCCAUAUGCGCCCAUUUUUAAUAGGAUUCCUGCUAAAAGCAUACAUGUACUGUAAUGUGCUUCUCCGUGGGUAUCAGGUAACCAUGUAUGUAGGGGUAUAAUCGGCAAUUUUACAGCAUAAGCAAUAAGGAAGCCAAAAUAGAAUAUUAUUUCCAACGACACAGGAUAUGAUUGAUUAAUUAAUCUUUCAAAAUCUAAUGUUGGUUCAUUGGAACCAUAUAAACCCAUACCNAGAUCAACUCUAACGGAGCCGAUCGUCAAUUUGAAGCGGCAUCAUUAAAAAUAAUUUGGUAGUAUGAAGGCCUCUGUACUACCGAUAAUAUAUCAGCCUAGCUAUAUAUAUAUAUAGAGAGAGAGAGAGAGAGAGUUGGACUGGGCUACUAUUAGUAGCAAAAUCUCGUUUUUGCUACCAGUUUUUUAGCCUUUGGAUCAACUCUUUUCAUUAUUUCUAACCAUUGGACUAAAUACUAUAACCCAGUGGAGACCACUCAACCCUAGGGAGACCAUUCAACUAUAACUGACUAAUAUCAUCCUGACCUUACAAUUUUUCAUCCAAGGGUUAAAAACUUGAUAGCAAAAAGAGCGUUUUACUAUUAAUAAUAUUCCAGCCUAAUUCUAUAUAUAUAUAUAGUCCGGCUACUAUACUUUUAUGAGUACGAUCGCCCUCGUACUCAUAAGUUAUUUUCGAUGAUAGAGCUUCCGAAUCGACGAUCCACACCGUUAAACGUUAUCUAGAGCAUUUGAAAUAUCUAGAAAUCAAAUUUCAUAAUUUUUCGACAUCAUUUAGCUUACGAUCAAAAGUUCACAAAAUUGACAAUUUUUAACGGCCGGUAUGGAAUACUUGCUAGUUUAAUGGUGCAAAAGAAUCCGAAUAGGUUGAAUUUUUGAUAGAAAAUUCUAUUUACUACCUAGAUAAAGAUCAAUAACUCCGAUCUUAAAUUGAAGGAUCCGAUCAUCCAUUUUUAAGACAUCGUUCGAUUUUGACUUUUCAUUUUAUGCCCGCUUGAUGGACUUUAUUAUGAUUUCGAAAAAUUACAAAAUUUAUUUUCUAGAAGUUUCAAAUAUUCUAGAUCAUAUUCAACGGAGUGGAUCGUCGAUUCGGAAGCUCCAUCAUCGAAAAUAACUUAUGAGUACGAAGGGCCCAAUACUCAUAAUAAUAUAGUAGCCCUGCUAUAUUUCGCUUCAUUCAUAUAAAAUGUAAACUUAGUCAACCGAGCCUUGUUUUUCAAAAACGAACAAACAAAUGAAAAAAACAGCAACGGAAAAAAGGUGAUAUAAGGAGAAACUACGGAACGAAAAGGAACUAUAACCUAAAAGAAUACAAAAAAUAAUCAAACCAAAAUAGAACAAAAGAAGACUAAAAAAGAAGAAAAAAAUCCACUAAAAUGCCAGACUACUAUUUGUAUUUUCUGCUAAAUACACGCUCCUCCCACAAUCUCACCAGCCUUCUGAUAUUGCUUACGGCAAGGAUUGGGUCCUCGCAAACUUCCUGAAGAUCAUUUUAUUUUUUUCCAGCCAAAUUGCCCACAAAAUUGCCGUUAAGAUACACAAACUCUUCGCACUACUCUCUAUCAUCAAUCUCUACCCCCCAAAAGCUCCUCCUCAUUCACCCCCUACAAGUGUCAUCAUGAGUAGAUACUUAGCUAACAAUGCAUCUCACGAAGAUAUGAUCAGCGGUCUCAAGAUCGUCUCCACAUACCACACAAAUCGCGUCCCGUGUCCGCUCCCUUUUGAGUAAAUAUUCGCCAUUAGAACUCAACUUUUUAGCUCAAGCCAAAUAAAAAAUUGUACUUUUGUAGAUAUCCUAUAAAGCUCCAAAUAUUCCUCAACAAGUAAUCUCUAACUUUACUAUCAAAUUAGAGCGGGAUACGUUGAUUUGACGGGGAAUCUACAGCUCGCAUUCCACCGCCAUAAUAAUUCAUCUGGCCUACAAAUAACUCUCAAGUUACUCUCAAGUUAGAUAGUCGAUUCUUGAGUACAUGAACUGUAGGGUUACUGUUACGACAAGCGCAUAAAUAGAAACGGGAGUGACGAAACAUAAAGUAGAUAAACAACAAAUAAGAAAAAAAUACACAGAUUUACGUAAAAAUUUAUUUACAGAAAAAAAAAUUAUGAACGAGAAAUGAGAGAAUUUACAUUGAUCGAUCUGUCGCCGCCAGGACAAAGCGAAAAAAAAAAACUCUUAACAGAUUUUGAAUCCAAUUCGUACCUCGGGAGGCGGGCCUAUCGAUCCGAGCCCUCUGUUACAUACUAGAAACAUCUAUUUUAUCUUAUUAUUCAAAUUGAUUACACAGCGAAAUAGUAGAUAAGUCAGAGCCUCAAAAUUAAAGUCGAUUAUCAAUUUCGAAACACAUCUAACAGUUUCUAUCUGGACCUGCAGCCCCAAUUCCCCGCAGAAUUUUCCACCGCCUCUAUCCACCAUUCGAAUACAGACUACGCACUGCUCAUUCAGAUAAAUUGACCGAGCAAAAAAAAACUAUCAGAAAAAGAAUUAAUGUGUGUUGCCAGAUGAUAUGAUGUAAAAUUAUUUUUAACCAAGCAUCUUCUUAUGCUAGUCACCUAAUAUCAAUUCUUUAGAUCACUAUUAGGUAAUCUGUUGUAAUUAAUUACCUAGUAAGUUUUUCGGCAAGAAUAAUGGUAAAUAUAUGUGGGUUUAUCUCAUUAAACUUUACUGGGUUAUAGCAUUUGCUUAUAUCAUGUUUAGUACAAAAUUACAAACUAAAGUAGUCCAGCUUACAACUACGGGUUUAAACAGGACCCAUUAUGCCGAGCUAAUAUCAAAAAUGGUAAAAAUGUUUAGAACUUAAUUAUCUAAACUAUACACAUCUUGAUUUGCCUAUCUAAUCUUAUGUAUUAGAAUUAAUGGCAUUCCGGGUGUUCUCCACAUAUUGAUGUUCAAAUAUUAGUUUCUUCUUUCUUUUCUUAUAACAUUCUAAAAUUUUUGACAUCAUAUAAUUUACGAUUAAGUUGCUUCAAAAUUAACAACUUUAACAGUGUAAUAGUGUACCAGAAUCAAAAUUUAUUAAAUUUUUAUAGAAAAUUCUAUUCACUUGUUAAAUCUAGAUCAAUAACUCUGAUCAUUAAUUGAAGAACCCGAUCUACUAUGUUUUAGAAUAUAGUUUGAUUUUGACUAUUUAUUUUAUACUCAUUUGAUACUUUAUUAUAAUUUUGAAAAAUUAUGAAAUUCUAAUUUUAGAUACUUCAAAUCCUUUAGCUUAUAUUGAAAGGUACAAUCAUCGAUUCAGAAGCUUUAUAAUCGAAAUCAACUUAUAAGUACAGAAGUUGCCAGGCUCAUAAUAGAGAAAGAGAGAGAGAAAGAGAGAGUUUGGGUGAGAUGCUUCUAAUAGUCGAAAACCCACCAACUGAUAACUUUGUACAAUUAGUACGUAGCAUCUUAGUUUAGUUCUACUAGUUGAUUUAUACUAAUAAAAGAUUUGUGGAUUAAUCUAAUAAGGUAAUCACUAAACCCAUGAUUAGCUUCCCAAACAAGAAACCUCUUCUUCUAGAAAAGUAAUUUAUGAUUGAAAAUAGAAAGGUCCUAUCACUACGAAUUAAUAACAUAAAAAAAAAAAUCUUUGUUUAUCAUUUGUUUAUUCGUUGAUGUGAUUAUCCUGAAAUCUCGAAAGCCAAUAAAGAACAACUCAGAUUGAUUUUUAAUUAACCAAUUUUUUUUUAAAAAAAAAAAACAGCUGAGUACUCCACCUACUCUAACAUCGUGCCCUCAAUAUUCUUUCCCAGAAUCCAAAUAAUUUGAUUCUCUCACAGAAAAAUCAAAGGUAUGAUUUUGAGCAUCCCAUUCAAUUCUUUUUUUAAAAUUUUUUUUUAUUAGUCGUGCCUACUUAAUUACAAGAUUAUCCAAAAAAAAUGCUUUAAAAAUUAAAAGGAAUAAACGAAGAUUAAAAUUAAGAAACGUACCUAGUGUAAACGGAUCUAAGAUGUCCAAAAUGAGAGCACACAUACAAAAGUUACUCGAGAGGGGGUGAGGAGAAGUGGCAACGGGUGGAAAAUUCCAGAGAAAUCGCAUUGAUCACCCAACACUUGAUCAAUAUAUAAAAAGAGAGAGAUCAAUGCGAUCCCUUUGGAGUUCUCCAACCGCUACCGAUCGUCUUCGAACCUACUUUUCCUUUUCGCGACAAAACGAUUUCUACGGCUUGGCCACUCCGCGGUGAGACCAGGAUCAGGUCAAUGGACUGAUCGACGGUGGUGAUUCCUGUGUGACCGUAGGGAGCCUCUUCAUAGAAUUUUCCUUCUUUCGCGCCCCCUCCUUAAUUCUCCUUUUUGUAGAAUUUAUAUAAUUCAAUUGAAGUAGGUGUUAAGGGCUCGAAUAUGUAUUACAUAAGAUAUAUAUAUAAUCUGUAUAUAUAUAUUAUAUAUACAUAUAUAGAGAGAGAGAGAGAGAGAGAGAGAGAGAGAGAGAAUUGGAGAGUGGGGUUGGGAUGGUGAAAGCUGCAGAGCUUCUGGGAGUUGCUAUUGCGGUUUGCUUUGCCUCACGCGUUGGACGUGAGAAAGCAAGCAAGUAGAAUGACAAUAAUGCCCUCCCCUUUUGUACUCAUUACGCGCUUCAAUGGCCUAGCCAAUCAUAUUUGAUUUGAUGAGAACUAAUUUUAUCUUAUAAUCUAAACAAUUUUGUGGCCCGCAUAACAGAUGUAAAAGAUACGUGAGAUGGAAAAGAUAAGAUCGACGCAAAUUUUGACCCGUUAGGUGGUAGGGUUAGGAUUUGAGCUAAAUUAUUGUUUCCGAUUAGUGUUAAAUUUAGGGUGCGUAUGCUUCGCACUAUCUUUUUAAGAUCUUUAAUAAUUCAAUAUGAAUAAAAAAAUUAUGAUAGGUAUUUCACUAAACGCACUAAAUAAUUUAGUUGAUAAUAUUGAAUUUACUUGAAAAAUGAUAUUCAUUUUAAAAUACUAAUCUCAUUCCUUUGAGAGAGGGUGGAUAUCUUCAUAUUAAUAGAUUGUGAUAAUAGUAAUAAUAUGUCUAAUCUUUUUCUUUCAUCUCACCCACUAGCUAAUUGUUAUUGUUUUUUCUUUACACUCUACUCUUAUUUAUCUCUUUAAAUUUAUAUUUUUCUUUCUAAACUUCAACCUUUUUUUUCCAAGCUAAGCUCUCUCUCCUUCUCUUUUUUUAAAAUCUUAAUUAAUUCUCUCACUCCUUCUAAUCUCGAUUCUAUUUGUCUUUUUAUUUCUUUAAUUAUACUCUUUCUCUCUAACUUAUGUUCUCUCUGUCUCUUUUCAAAAAAGAUAUGAAAUUUUCAAUAUAUAGCAUUAUAAUCUAAAAUUAAUUAACGAAACAAAUACACCAAUUAUAUAUUUUUCAUAAUCUUAAAUAAUAUGACUACGCGCGUAAUAUGAUCGUGCGAACCAAAUAUCGAAACAUCACAUUCUUAAUAAUAUAAUGAAUAAAAAUAAACUUCUUCAGUAUUUUUUUAUUCCUAGUAAUCUUUCAUAGUGCGAACCAAAUGCACCUUUAUGAUUAUUUAGAAGCAAAAGUUUUUGAAAUUGG